GAAUAACAGAGUCGUUGUGAGGUCAUAAGGAAGGGGACAUUGGAGCCUGGAUAUUCAUGGAACACCAGGCAGUACAUGGGGGACUGACCAGUGAAACCCAACCUUGGGGUGAAAGGAUGAAAAGCAUAGAGUCCCCUGGCAGUUACUACUGUGAGGCAUAUGUCAGGUUCCUUGGCCUUCUCAUGGAGAAAAGUCACCCACAAUCAACUGGUGUGUGGACCAGGCUCAUAGCAGAGAAGGAAGCUAAAGUAUCCUUGGAUAUCCUUCUAAUGAUGCAUACAUCUAUGACCUUGUGAGAAAACUGAAAAGAAACAAAACAAAACAAAACAAAACAAAACAAAACAAAAAAAUGAUUAAGGGGCAUUCUACAAAAUAGCUAAUCGUCAUUUACCAGGAGUGUCAAGGUCAUAAAAGACAAGGCAAGACUGAGCAGCUGUCACAGACAUGAGGGGACUCAGGAUACGUGACAACUAAAUAUAAUACAGGCUCUCUUCUCUCUCCAAGACCAACACUCGAACCAUUAGAUGUAAUAUAAAAUAAGGAGUUCUUUAUUAUUUAUAUAAAAUUGUACAUAAAAACAAUUAAGAUUCAACAAUUCUGUGGACCCCCUGAGGAAGCUGUAUUCAGAUUGAAUACUGGAACACAAAAAUUAGUGGAAAACACUUGUGAAGUAGGACUCAGAGUUUUGCUUUAGUUAAUGGUGCAGUAGCAAGAAUAAUUUCUUACCUUUUAUACAGGCUCUGAAAUGACAGGGGUUGUUAAUUGAAGAAGAAUUUGGGUGAAGAAUAUAUGGAGGCCAAAUGUGCAUCACUUUAAGUCUAAUCUUAAGUGAAGAAAAUAAUGGAAUGGCAGAAUUUUAGGGGCACCUGGGUGGCUCGGUGGUUGAGCGUCGGCCUUCAGCUCAGAAUAUAGUCCUGGAGUCCCGGAUUGAGCAUGGAGCCUGCUUCUCCCUCUGCCUGUAUCUCUGCCUCUCUCUCUGAGUCUCUAAUGAAUAAAUACAUAAAAUCUAAAAAAAAUAAUAAUUAA
This 1026-nucleotide long non-coding RNA is filed under the name Vulpes vulpes (red fox). RNAcentral's name for it is "lncRNA (ENSVVUG00000020863.1)". Lineage: Eukaryota; Metazoa; Chordata; Mammalia; Carnivora; Canidae. The record is from RNAcentral.